UAGGAAAACUGAAAAAUAGUAAAGAUAAGGUAGUUGGGAUUAAUUGGACAAACAAACCAGUCAAAGCAUUGGGAAUAUAUUUUGGUCAUAACAGAGAAGAAUGUGAAAAAUUAAACUUGGGAGAAUAAAAUUGAGAAAAUGAAUAUAUAAACAAGAAGAUGUGAUAUAAUUGCCAAUGAGACAACUAUCCGCAAAAGACAAAAAUGACACAGACAUUAAAAACUAUAGGUCACCGUACGGCCUUCAACAAUGAGCAUAGCCCAUACCGC
This 269-nucleotide long non-coding RNA is filed under the name Mytilus galloprovincialis (Mediterranean mussel). The record is from RNAcentral. Lineage: Eukaryota; Metazoa; Mollusca; Bivalvia; Mytilida; Mytilidae.